UUGCUAUCUGCGAUAUGGAAGAUUCGAACCUGCGGCAGGUUCGGGUCUCACGUAGUGAGACAACGGAGCCGCUUGCGGCGACGGCCCGAAGGGCGAGCAAAGCGAGUCAUCCUGCACGACCCACCA
This 126-nucleotide small RNA is filed under the name Salmonella enterica subsp. enterica serovar Heidelberg. Its description in RNAcentral is "RtT RNA". It matches the Rfam family "RtT RNA". Rfam says of the family: This family represents a bacterial cis-regulatory element known as RtT RNA. The record is from RNAcentral. Lineage: Bacteria; Pseudomonadati; Pseudomonadota; Gammaproteobacteria; Enterobacterales; Enterobacteriaceae. RNAcentral also lists the same sequence under 1 other name.